GCUUUGGUAGUGCGUCCGCCUUGUAAGCGCUAGGCCGCGGGUUCGAUUCCCGCCCGGGGCG
RNAcentral lists this transfer RNA (61 nucleotides) under Diaphorina citri (Asian citrus psyllid). It matches the Rfam family "tRNA". From Rfam's summary of the family: Transfer RNA (tRNA) molecules are approximately 80 nucleotides in length. Their secondary structure includes four short double-helical elements and three loops (D, anti-codon, and T loops). The record is from Rfam by way of RNAcentral. Lineage: Eukaryota; Metazoa; Arthropoda; Insecta; Hemiptera; Psyllidae.